Molecule: ribosomal RNA, 475 nt
Filed under: uncultured organism
Description: partial 16S ribosomal RNA
Rfam family: Bacterial small subunit ribosomal RNA
Source: RNAcentral
CACUCCUGCGGGAGGCAGCAGUGGGGAAUUUUGGUCAAUGGGCGAAAGCCUGAUCCAGCAAUGCCGCGUGUGUGAAGAAGGCCUUCGGGUUGUAAAGCACUUUUGUCCGGAAAGAAAUCCUUGGCUCUAAUACAGUCGGGGGAUGACGGUACCGGAAGAAUAAGCACCGGCUAACUACGUGCCAGCAGCCGCGGUAAUACGUAGGGUGCGAGCGUUAAUCGGAAUUACUGGGCGUAAAGCGUGCGCAGGCGGUUUGCUAAGACCGAUGUGAAAUCCCCGGGCUCAACCUGGGAACUGCAUUGGUGACUGGCAGGCUAGAGUAUGGCAGAGGGGGGUAGAAUUCCACGUGUAGCAGUGAAAUGCGUAGAGAUGUGGAGGAAUACCGAUGGCGAAGGCAGCCCCCUGGGCCAAUACUGACGCUCAUGCACGAAAGCGUGGGGAGCAAACAGGAUUAGAUACCCGAGUAGUCCCAUGA